UGGCACGACUCUCGGCAAUGGAUAUCUCGGCUCUCGCAUCGAUGAAGAGCGCAGCGAAAUGCGAUACGUGGUGCGAAUUGCAGAAUCCCGUGAACCAUCGAGUCUUUGAACGCAAGUUGCGCCCGAGGCCAACCGGCCAAGGGCACGUCUGCCUGGGCGUCAA
Molecule: ribosomal RNA, 163 nt
Filed under: Dendrobium brymerianum
Lineage: Eukaryota; Viridiplantae; Streptophyta; Magnoliopsida; Asparagales; Orchidaceae
Description: 5.8S ribosomal RNA
Rfam family: 5.8S ribosomal RNA
About the family: 5.8S ribosomal RNA (5.8S rRNA) is a component of the large subunit of the eukaryotic ribosome.
Source: RNAcentral